GCUAAAAAUGUCCCCAGACGUCAUCCAAGGUCCAUGAGAUUUCCCUCCUUUGUUGUAAGCCACCUACCUGAUGUUUCUGCCACUGUAUUUAGUAAUGGGUUUUUAAAAAUACGACUUUCUUGUUUUGUUACAGUAAACCCCUCCCUGGCCUGUUAUCAUGAUAGACCAUGGAAUCUGGAGUAAUCUAAAUUGUCUUCUUGGGUCAUGAGCACUCAUAUUUGGCUUCAGAAGACACAGUCCCUUUUUAAUUGAUAAUUGCAUUUUUUGAGUCAACAAAAGCAUCAGCUACACUCUAGGCAGCCUGUUCAACGAAGAGGCUGUGAAGAUGAGCCAGUCCCGUGUGGACCCCACACACGAGGCUCCGGCAGCUCUGCGUGAGGGAGGGACACACAGUACAAAGGUUUACAUAAACAUGCUGACGGCCAUCCUACUGAGCAUCGGCUGAGUCUCCGGUGUGAAGACUACCCAGUACCAGGAUCUCUCACUUGGGAAAUGAGAUUCCAUCAAAGAAGCUCCUGUGUGGAUGGACAUUAGGGCUGCUUCCGUGUCUGGGCCACCGUGAAUCACGCUGCCGUGAACACAGGCGAACAGUUUAUGGUCUCCUUAAACCUGGCUCCUGCCAAGUGCAACUUGAUGGAGCUCUCUAGCGACUCUAGCUACUCUGUAGCCGAGCCUCAGGGAGCAGUCCCGCGUGCCCUCUCUGACUCACCGUGGGUUGUGGGUUCAGUUUGCAGCCUGCCUGGGCGGGCCGCAGCAGGGGAACCGGCUUCUCUCCUCUCCUCUUCAGGAAGAGAAGCCACUGCAGCAUUAUAUUUCUUUGUUUCUGGGAAACAACUUUGCUUUGUUUUCUCCCAUUUGAGUCUUUGUUUCACCUAUGCAAAUGCGAUUCAUCGUUCAGUGCCGGAGAAGGGCCUUAAAUAACGUAAUUACCGCACCAAUCAUCUACUUGGCUCCUGGAAAGCAUCUUUUUAGUGAGGUCGAUUCCUGUUGCUUCAGCUCUAUACAGACCCCAAAUAAUGAGCAAACUUCCUUUCUUAACAUGCUAAUUAGUCUCUGAAACCAGCGUUCCUUUAAAGGGGUGAUUUAAUUGGAUAUUAAGUUUGCAAUUGAAAGAUUAGAUUAUGAAAUAAACAAACAUAUCCAUCUAAUAGGUCUUUGGAAAAAAAAUUCUAAGUAUUCUACUCAGGUUUUCCUGCAAAGUGCAAAUGCAUCCAGCUAUAUUGUUUAAUUCUCUGCCAUUUUGCUGAGUUUUGUAGCUCUCAACCUGAAUUCUUUCCUGGGCUGAUUCCAAAGAAAAUAAUCUCAGGAGGCUGAGUGAGCUUGGGAUCCAGUGCUGGCCCCCAAAUAACCUUUUGCUUAAAGACUUUACCUGGAUAAAUGAAAUUCAAGAAAUGUUGAGAAACCAUUUUGAAAUGAAUAAUAGCGAAACAAUUCCAAGGGGUAUAAUUUUGGAUGCAUUAAAGGUGAUGGUGAGAGAAUACAUUUGCCUCGCUGUACAUUUAAAGGAAAUCAAAGAUCAAAACAGGUGCAGGUUGCAGAAGGAAAUUAAGAAAUGAGCAGUACAUCAUAGCUCGUCCCAAAUCCCAGAUGAUGCUUUCAGAAAAUUAUUUCGAGGCAAAGUAAUGCAUUUUUAAAUAGAAGUGAAUAUAACCCCUCCUCCAGUUUACCAACUGGGCUUCCUGGGAACGGGAAAUAAAGAUGUGCAGCUCUUCAACCUAACAGUUUAAAAAGGUACGAGAAAGCAAUGAUCAUCUCCCUUAAAACAAGGACGCCUUUGGGAGAGUGGUCAUGCCAUCAGGAUGCCAGGGGAUCUUUGAACACAGGUGCCCAGGGUUAGGAGAUAGAAAGGAAUAUGCAUCAUCUGCAUCAUCUGCAUCAUCUGCACCAUCCUCAUCAUCCGCAUCAUCCCAAUCCUCGCUUUGCAUCACCAGAUGAAGCAACUCAGCCAGAGUGCAAGGACAGAGUGACCGUCUUCACCAUCUUCACAUCUAAUGAUAUCCUGAAGAAGAUAAUUGAGGGUGACACCUUAUGUGGAAUAUAUAUGCUUCCCACAGCCCGCGCUGCUUGGUGUCGGUCUCUGAAUUCAUAACACAAACGAACAGAAGACAAAAAUCGUUUGCAGAUUCUGAAAGGAAGGAUUUCGACAGGAGAGAUGUUUAGAACGUGCUAGUCUGGGAAGCUGGAGAGGAGGCGGUCCUUAAAACCAACCAAUCAAAGACCUGGAAAGGGAAGCUUCCCAAGCACCCGCCCCCUCGGGAACAUCUGCUCUCCCCCCCCCCCCCACACACACCCCAUUUACACCAAACUCACUUGUCAAUUUCCUCAGAGAAACUUGAAUGGAUUUUUCUAACCUGCCCCAACUCCAAAUUGAUCAGUUAAUUAAGCUGAUCUCUAGGAGGCUGUUGAGGAACGGGCUCUUUUCUCCUUUUAUGUUCUACAGUUCCAAAUAAACUCUUCAGAGGCACCCACCUCGGGCAGAGGAGCACUCCUUACUAAAAUCCUACUCCUUCUCCUCCUGCACACAAACAGACCCAGUGGUUAUCUGUUGCUAUUUAUUUACGAUUUAUUACUUUUAAAUAUACAAUUGUUGGGUUUUCCCAGGAUUGUUGUAUAUUUGCUGUCUUUAUUUGCUUUGAGGAUUCAAAAGGAACUGGUAGGUCACUAGCUGUGUGUGUGUGUGUGUGUGUGUGUGUGUGUGUGACUUGCUGCAGUGUUACAUUUUAAAGUCACUCCUUUGAUCUACAGGCAGGUGAGUGAUGAGGUAGUUGCUGUGUAUUGUAAUGCGAAGGAUCACCCUCCCAAGUUCUGGUUGCCCCCAGUGAGGAGAAAUCUUCACUUUCACCAAAUGAUGCUAUGUAAUCUUUCUCCCUAGGUUAUCCCUAGUUGGUCAAUAAAGAUGCCUACAGCCAAUCAAGUUGGUCCUGGGCUUGGGGUCU
This is a long non-coding RNA of Mus musculus (house mouse), 2936 nucleotides long. RefSeq annotates it as predicted gene, 30991. NCBI's taxonomy places the organism in Eukaryota, Metazoa, Chordata, Mammalia, Rodentia, Muridae. The record is from RefSeq and is a predicted model, not a curated record. The transcript has 4 exons.